UGAAUACGAGAUGCUACGGCGUCGAAGCAGUCUAUGUCAUACUUCCAAGAAAAGCUUGCACUGUCAUAAACAAAUAAUGCCUGUACCAUAACCGACACAGGUGGGUAGGUAGGGUAUACUAAGGGGCGCGAGAUAACUCUCUCUAAGGAACUCGGCAAAAUGACUCCGUAACUUCGGGAGAAGGAGUGCCUUAUUUUAUAAGGUUGCAAUAACAAGAUCCAAGCAACUGUUUACCAAAAACACAGGUCUCCGCUAAGUCGUAAGACGAUGUAUGGGGGCUGACGCCUGCCCAGUGCCAGAAGGUUAAAGAAGUUGGUUAGCAUCCGCGAAGCUGAUAACUGAAGCCCUGGUGAACGGCGGCCGUAACUAUAACGGUCCUAAGGUAGCGAAAUUCCUUGUCGGGUAAGUUCCGACCCGCACGAAAGGCGUAAUGAUUUGGAUACUGUCUCAGAGAGGGGCUCGGUGAAAUAGACUUGUCUGUGAAGAUGCGGACUACCUGCACCAGGACAGAAAGACCCUAUGAAGCUUUACUGUAACUUGAAAUUGAAAUUGGACUUUACUUGCGCAGUAUAGGUGGGAGGCGUUGAGAAUAUUCUUGCGGGAAUGUUGGAGCCAUCAGUGAGAUACCACUCUUGUAAUGUUAGAUUUCUAACUUUGUAUCAUUAUCUGGUCAAAGGACAGUUUCAGGCGGGCAGUUUGACUGGGGCGGUCGCCUCCCAAACGGUAACGGAGGCGCACAAAGGUUUCCUCUGAACGGGUAGAAAUCGUAUCUAGAGUGUAAAGGCAUAAGGAAGCUUGACUGUGAGACCUACAAGUCGAGCAGGGACGAAAGUCGGUCUUAGUGAUCUGACGGUGCUGAGUGGAAAGGCCGUCACUCAACGGAUAAAAGUUACUCUAGGAUAACAGGCUGAUCUCCCCCAAGAGUUCACAUCGACGGGGAGGUUUGGCACCUCGAUGUCGGCUCAUCGCAUCCUGGGGCGGUAGUACGUCCCAAGGGUUGGGCUGUUCGCCCAUGAAAGCGGUACGCGAGCUGGGUUCAGAACGUCGUGAGACAGUUCGGUCCAUAUCCGGUGUAGGCGUUAGAAUAUUGAGAGGAGCCUUCUUUAGUACGAGAGGACCGAGAAGGACAUACCUCUGGUGUACCAGUUAUCGUGCCAACGGUAAACGCUGGGUAGCUAUGUAUGGAGUGGAUAACCGCUGAAAGCAUCUAAGUGGGAAGCCCACCUCAAGAUAAGUAUUCUCU
RNAcentral lists this ribosomal RNA (1243 nucleotides) under metagenome. Its description in RNAcentral is "bacterial LSU rRNA". It matches the Rfam family "Bacterial large subunit ribosomal RNA", at positions 1564 to 2816 of the family's 2925-position model. The record is from RNAcentral.